GAGGAAGCAACAGCGUCUGACGAACACCAGACCCGCUACAUACGAAUGUAUAUGGUUGUGGGUGGUCUGAUGCAGCACCUGGAUGUCUAUUGUGCAAGACGCAGUUCCACAAGAACAGCCUCAGGUGUCCAUUGGAAACAACAGUUCAAAGAAGAAAAUCCUGUUUACCUGAUUCUUCAAUGUUGCAGUGCAUCAAGAUCCCUCUGACGCUCUUCCAAAUGAUAGUCAGUAGAACUCUUCACAUACUCCUAUUAUUUUGGGUGUGGGCAUCGGUGACUAGGAGAAAGUGAGGACUGCAGAUGCUGGAGAUCAGACAUGAAAAUGUGUUGCUGGAAAAGUGCAG
Chiloscyllium plagiosum (whitespotted bambooshark) is the source of this 343-nucleotide long non-coding RNA. RefSeq lists it as uncharacterized. The record is from RefSeq and is a predicted model, not a curated record. NCBI's taxonomy places the organism in Eukaryota, Metazoa, Chordata, Chondrichthyes, Orectolobiformes, Hemiscylliidae.